Long non-coding RNA from Oryzias sinensis (Chinese medaka), 2231 nucleotides. The record is from Ensembl. NCBI's taxonomy places the organism in Eukaryota, Metazoa, Chordata, Actinopteri, Beloniformes, Adrianichthyidae.
AUGAGUGAGGAAAAGAUUAGUGCAUUUGUAAAUUUCAAUUUUACCUUUAUUGACUUGAGCGAUGUAAACACUGCGACAGAUGACCAAAAUGACGUCACCCUACCCACAAUUACGAAUGGCUGUUGUCCGAACAUGCAGUCAGGGGUUCGAACUCCUCUUCUUGUUGCAACUGCGAUAUUAGAGAAAGUCUUUGCCUAUUUGAUUGAGAAAGCACAGUUUGGCAGAGAUUAUUAUGCCCUUCCAGAGGCAACCCUGUAUUUUAUCCAGGCUGGUGAGAAACACACUUGGGCCCCCUUGUGGCAGCAUAGGUUAGCAGUAGCAGGUAGAUGAAUAUUAGCAUAGUUUACUUUUGCAUUAGCCUGUGUAUAUACUCUCAAGUUUACCAUGUAACUAAGCUGGCAUUGUAGGACAACCAAGAUGCAAACAUGGAUAUUUCAUACAGAAAUCCAGAAAACCAAACUGUUUGGUCACAUGAAUAUAAUUCCACCAUCAAGGGGCACAUUUACACAGAUGUGUCUUUGUGAAACAUCUGUGUUCAGAUGGUCAGUGAGGCAAAUAUGAUUAAAAGAUAUCACUACACUUAAACACUACACUAUAUCUCUCUUUCUACCAUUUUAACACAACAGAGAGUUUUUCAAACUAUCCACAUUUAAAUAUUCACCCCGUACUCUAAUAUUGCAGUUCCAACAAGAAGAACACUUUUUGUAUUAAUUAGUCUUCUUCCGUUUUUGUCCCUUUCGGGAUCACGGGGCUGCUGGAGCCUAUCCCGGCCACUUAUGGGCAAAGGCAGGGGACACCCUGGACAGGUCUCCCCUCUGCCGCAAGGCCACAUAUCAAACACCCAUACACACUCACAUUCACGUUUACACCAAUGGACAAUUUAGAGUAAGCAAUUAAUCUAUGAGGCAUGUUUUUGGACGGUGGGAGGAUGCCGGAGAAAACCCCUGCAUGCACUGGGAGAGCAUGCAAACUCCACACUUUUUGUUGUCAUGAUAAAAUUCCGUAUACAGAAGAUAAUGAACUCCAGUGGAUUUAGAGCUGGUUUAACAAAGACUGCCUUCAUGAGAGUUUAUUAAAGUAUUUCACUGUGAAUUUUAACUAUUUCUAAUUAUCCUUUCUGUAAGAAGUUCACAAACCAAGAUUUUACCUGGAACUUUAAGAAAGACUUAGAAAAAAACAUCUAAAGCAGUCAGGAGAUUGUUGUGACUGAAGUAAAACAUUAACAACACGAUCACUCUGAACGAAUUGAUGUUUUUCAUCAUGUAGUUGUUUUUCUGACAGUCUCAGACAGUUAGUUGGGGGGUUUUCGUUCGUCAUUCUACAGUCAUCAUGGCUGAAGAUUGGAUGAAGAUUGCUACCAAAAGUCUAAGACCAGCUUAAAUGAAGGGGAACCUCAGGAUGAGUGUAAGAAUGAGACAUUCAUUAGUCAUGCGAUGAAAAAAACGGAUUCUGUAAUUUCCUUUUUUGCUUGGAGGAAGCUCAAUGAGCAACAGCCUGCUUCCUGUCAUUUCCUGAAUAAAACUGGUUUGCUGAGAAAAGCCAACAAGAAAUUGUUUUUCAUUUAAAGAUGAAUAAAGAGGGAUGGAAUAAUUUAUCUUCUAUUAAUAAAUAUAAAACAUAUUUCUGUUGUGAUGCAGUUUGCUGUUUGACAUAACCUCUGUGCCUUCUACUCAGAAGUUCAAACUGCUAUGAGUUCCACAUCUGGGUCUGUGAGUUUUCCCCCACAGUCACUGGCUUUCAUUCCUUCACAAUAGGAGCAAACCCUGCAGGACGCCCCCACCUGAGAGGUUUGUGCAAUUUCAAGCAGAGGAAUCCAGCAGAAAAGCACUCAAACCUGUGUGAAGCAGCAGAAGUCAGAGCAUAACUUGCAGAUGAGAGAAUGAAACUGAAAUAGAAAACGCCAAAGCCUAAUAUAAUUAACAGGUGUAUUUGUUUGUGCAAAAGUUAGUUUCACAUGUAUUUAAGCUUGAAUAAUUAUUGUUCUCUAAACUCUGUGUUACCCAAUAACAUCGACGCUGUUGAAAUAAAGAAAAAAAACCUGUUCUUGUUGUUAUUAACAAGCUUAGUCUACGACAAAAUAAUCAUGAGUGUGAAACUUGCAGUAGAGUGUGGUGUGCAGCAUGUGGAAUGCAAACAAUGCAGGUGACCGAGAGUGAUGGUGAUAUCACCUGCAGAAAAGAGAGAAAAAUCUUCAAAAUUGCAUGUUUGUUAACAUAUUUUUUCUAAAUAGU